Molecule: transfer-messenger RNA, 358 nt
Filed under: Sphingomonadales bacterium 12-68-11
Lineage: Bacteria; Pseudomonadati; Pseudomonadota; Alphaproteobacteria; Sphingomonadales
Also listed under: 1 other name
Rfam family: Alphaproteobacteria transfer-messenger RNA
About the family: Bacterial tmRNA, also known as 10Sa RNA or SsrA, is named for its dual tRNA and mRNA-like properties. Its role is to liberate the mRNA from a stalled ribosome.
Source: RNAcentral
ACACUUCACAUUAGGCGCCAGAGGCUUAUAUCGGUCCUCGCCGGCUUCGGCCGGAUAUGGCGAUAAAUGGUAGUGUGUAAUAGGCGCAGCGGACCCGGGGGCAGUACCCGGCGGCUCCACCAAAAAGCGUCCCGAGCUUCGGUGACAGGGCGCUUCCUGACGGGGUCGAACUAGGAUCGACGUGUGUUGAAAGGCAUUGUUUUCGCCCGGGCUGAGUAACCCGUUAAAGGCUCAAAACCCACAAGUGCCAACGAUAACGAAGCACUUGCUCUCGCUGCGUAACCUGACGGCCUAACGGCCUGACAUUACAAAGCAAAGAGCACGGUUCGGACCGAACCGGGUAACAGAAUCGGAAACC